RNAcentral lists this ribosomal RNA (237 nucleotides) under Lactobacillus delbrueckii subsp. bulgaricus. RNAcentral describes it as "partial 23S ribosomal RNA". It matches the Rfam family "Bacterial large subunit ribosomal RNA", at positions 1 to 237 of the family's 2925-position model. Lineage: Bacteria; Bacillati; Bacillota; Bacilli; Lactobacillales; Lactobacillaceae. The record is from RNAcentral.
AGGUCAAGUGAAGAAGGGCGCACGGUGAAUGCCUUGGCACUGGAAGCCGAUGAAGGACGCGACUAACCGCGAAAGUCUUCGGGGAGCCGUAAGUAGGCUUUGAUCCGGAGGUCUCCGAAUGGGGGAACCCAGCAUGUGCAGACAUGCUAUCCUUAAGUGAAUACAUAGCUUAAGGAGGGAACACGCAGUGAACUGAAACAUCUAAGUAGCUGCAGGAAGAGAAAGAAAUAUCGAUUU